RNAcentral lists this ribosomal RNA (469 nucleotides) under uncultured bacterium. RNAcentral describes it as "partial 16S ribosomal RNA". It matches the Rfam family "Bacterial small subunit ribosomal RNA", at positions 28 to 507 of the family's 1533-position model. The record is from RNAcentral.
GACGAACGCUGGCGGCGUGCUUAACACAUGCAAGUCGAACGGAAAGGCCCUGCUUGCAGGGUGCUCGAGUGGCGAACGGGUGAGUAACACGUGGGUGAUCUGCCCCUUACUUUGGGAUAAGCCUGGGAAACUGGGUCUAAUACUGGAUAGGACCAUGCUGUAGGUGGUGUGGUGGAAAGAUUAGUUUCGGUAAGGGAUGAGCUCGCGGCCUAUCAGCUUGUUGGUGGGGGAAUGGCCUACCAAGGCGUCGACGGGUAGCCGGCCUGAGAGGGUGGACGGCCACAUUGGGACUGCGGUACGGCCCAGACGCCUACGGGGGGCAGCAGUGGGGAAUAUUGCACAAUGAGCGCAAGCCUGAUGCAGCGACGCCGCGUGGUGGAUGACGGCCUUCGGGUUGUAAACUCCUUUCAGCCAUGACGAAGCCCUUGUGGUGACGGUAGUGGUAAAAGAAGCACCGGCUAACUACGUG